Molecule: ribosomal RNA, 481 nt
Filed under: Scolopendra japonica
Lineage: Eukaryota; Metazoa; Arthropoda; Chilopoda; Scolopendromorpha; Scolopendridae
Description: partial 16S ribosomal RNA
Source: RNAcentral
UUUAAUAGACGAACAGUCUACCUUACCAAGCACCUACACCCAGCAGGAAUUUUGAUCCAACAUCGAGGUCACAAACUUAUUUAUCAAUAAGAACUCUCCAAAUAAAUUAUGCUGUUAUCCCUACGGUAAUUUAUUCUAUUAAUCAUUAUUAAUGGAUCAAAAAUUAAAUAAAAUUAGACUAUAAUGUUUCUUUAAAAUAAUCACCCCAACCAAAUAUUAAUCAUCAUUAAAAUCACCUAAGAAAAUAAAAACUUAAAUAUAAAACUCAAUAGGGUCUUCUCGUCUUUUUGAGCCAAAUCAGCAUUUUUACUGACUAUUUAAUUUCAACAAUACAUAUAAGAAAGAAUCUCCUGUGUCCAACCCUUCAUACAAGACUACAAUUAAUAGCCUAAUUAUUAUGCUACCUUCGCACGGUCAAUAUACCGCGGCCAUUUAUACAUACAUAGAGCAGGCCAGAUUUUAAAUAAACAUUCAUAAAACC